GAAGAACAUGCCAUAUUGACCAUGUCAUUGAAUCUUUGGUCUAUGUGGUAUGUCCUUC
Molecule: microRNA precursor, 58 nt
Filed under: Cordylochernes scorpioides
Lineage: Eukaryota; Metazoa; Arthropoda; Arachnida; Pseudoscorpiones; Chernetidae
Source: RNAcentral